Molecule: ribosomal RNA, 456 nt
Filed under: Coniochaeta savoryi
Lineage: Eukaryota; Fungi; Ascomycota; Sordariomycetes; Coniochaetales; Coniochaetaceae
Description: eukaryotic LSU rRNA
Rfam family: Eukaryotic large subunit ribosomal RNA
Source: RNAcentral
GCUCAAAUUUGAAAUCUGGCUUCGGCCCGAGUUGUAAUUUGUAGAGGAUGCUUUUGGUGAGGUGCCUUCUGAGUUCCCUGGAACGGGACGCCAGAGAGGGUGAGAGCCCCGUAUAGUUGGACACCGAGCCUCUGUAAAGCUCCUUCGACGAGUCGAGUAGUUUGGGAAUGCUGCUCAAAAUGGGAGGUAUAUCUCUUCUAAAGCUAAAUACUGGCCAGAGACCGAUAGCGCACAAGUAGAGUGAUCGAAAGAUGAAAAGCACUUUGAAAAGAGGGUUAAAUAGUACGUGAAAUUGUUGAAAGGGAAGCGCUUGUGACCAGACUUGUGCCGGGCUGAUCAUCCAGUGUUCUCACUGGUGCACUCUGCCCGGCUCAGGCCAGCGUCGGUUCUCGCAGGGGGAUAAAAGCGGCGGGAACGUGGCUCCUCCGGGAGUGUUAUAGCCCGCCGCUCAAUACC